This 1052-nucleotide unclassified non-coding RNA is filed under the name Leishmania donovani. RNAcentral's name for it is "gene:unknown". The record is from RNAcentral. Lineage: Eukaryota; Euglenozoa; Kinetoplastea; Trypanosomatida; Trypanosomatidae.
UUGCCACUCACAACAGGUACACCGUCUUAUAGUGCGGAGUUGAGGAAGUGCACGACACGCGCCAGUGCAGACGGCAAGUAGGCGUGCUCCCUUUCCCUCACGUGGUCCCCGUGCUGGAAAACGAAGUCGAUACUUGACGCACAAGAUCCACGCCCUCGCCACCCCGCCCGCUUCAUCCGCUGCAUCGACGGGGAGAGAAGGCGAGAGAGGUCCAAGGCGUAGAAAAUAGUCGCAUUUCACUAACUUCGAAGGUACACCAGACGGACGCCGAUACUCACAAAUACACGUGCAGGCACACGCAUCGGCAUACAUCCACCCCCCCCCCUGCUCUCUCCUGCGAUGACUGGCGGAAGCCGAUACAACCCCGUAUGACCACCGCCGCGCCGUCGUCGUUGGCGCAAAGCACGACGGCCAGCACAACAACCGCGACGCACAUUGGCACCACGUGCCGCCGUGAGGGCAACGUGCUCGUCAUUUUUGCGUCACUGACAAUAGGGCUCAUCAUUGUCGGCACGUGCGUGUUCGUGUGGCUAUGCAGGUCGCGCCGCAUCCCGCCAUACCGGCAUGGCCAUGUGCGACGCUGCAUCGCCCCCUCUCUUCACGCAGUUGGCGAGUAUACCGUAUGGCAUGAAAGCGACCGGGGCCCCCAUGUUUCGCUUCCUUCCCCCUCUCCCUCCCCGCGUUCACGUCACCUGAAAGAAAGCGGCGAGGAGACACUAUGAAAGGCGCGCAAGUGUGACAGCGACACUGAGUAACGCAGCACGGCAACGAGUGUGCGUGCACUCUUGGCCGAAUCUAUCACCUUCUCGUGCACCUUUUGCGCUGCUGCUCUGCCCGACACACCUGCCAACGGACCCACGCGGCGCGCUCCAUUUUUUUUGCCCUUCCCACCUUUCCACGGUCCUCUUCCCAAGCGACGCCACCUCCGGCACUGUAGGUUCCAGUCUCUUCACUGGUGCCUUACCUGCACCAACGGCACCAAGAGGAAAUGAGAUUAGUGUUUUUCCCGCUAACCGAAGCCGCCAUAGAGAGUCUCAACCGUCUCAGCAUCG